Lathyrus oleraceus (garden pea) is the source of this 3809-nucleotide long non-coding RNA. RefSeq lists it as uncharacterized. The record is from RefSeq and is a predicted model, not a curated record. Lineage: Eukaryota; Viridiplantae; Streptophyta; Magnoliopsida; Fabales; Fabaceae. The transcript is spliced from 11 exons.
UCAAAGUUCAUUCUUUUUUUUUCCUGUUCUCUCACUCACACCCAAUACCAAUAAGCAUUUUCUUGUUCUCUCACUCACCGCCGCACCUCCAUGAAAAUAUUCUAGCUUCAAUUCUCAACAUCGUUCCACCACCAUCAUUCACCACCCACCACCUUCAACUCUCACCACCAUAAAAUCCUAGAUCUAACGAUCACCACCCAUCAUUAGUCCACCACCAUCAUUCACGAUAACCGCACCACCGACAGAGACUGAAGAAUCUGCUGAUUAGAAACCACAAGAGGGCUUUAUGACUCUAUCAACAGAAAUGCGGUGCUUGAAAGAGUUGCAAUAGAAAAGAGGCUGUCACUAGUCAAAGCAUGGGAAGAAAGUGAAAAGUCUAAAGCAUAAAACAAGAACUUUUCUUAUUACUCGUGAAAUUUGCAAGCAUCUAACAAGAGAGUGUAUGUUGAAAGAAGAAAUUGAAAAGUCUAAAGAAGAAAACAAGAACUUUUCUUAUUACUCGUGAAAUUUGCAAGCAUCUAACAAGAGAGUGUAUGUUGAAAGAAGAAAUUGAAAAGUCUAAAGAAGAAAACAAGAACUUUUCUUAUUACUCGUGAAAUUUGCAAGCAUCUAACAAGAGAGUGUAUGUUGAAAGAAGAAAUUGAAAAGUCUAAAGAAGAAAACAAGAACUUUUCUUAUAACUCGUGAAAUUUGCAAGCAUCUAACAAGAGAGUGUAUGUUGAAAGAAGAAAUUGAAAAGUCUAAAGCAGAAAACAAUGAUGGGUCAGCCUAAUCAAACUAUACCUACUCAAUAUGUCAUGAAUGAAGUUGGUUCAACAGCAAGAACUGAAGUUGUUGGAGCAGAAUUAGUUAAUACCCAACCUACAAAGAAGAGGAAAGCUAGUGCAAGUGGUUCUAGGCAAUCAUCUGCUUGUUGGGAGCACUUUAUUAGAUUACCAGAUGACUUAGUUGAUACACCAACUGCAGCUUGUAAACACUGCCACAAAAAAUACCUAUGUGACCCUAGGACUCAUGGCACCACCAACAUGAACCAUCACAUUCUAAAAUGUGCAAAGAAGCCUAGAACCACUGAUCCCACCCAAACUAUUCUGACAUACCCCUCUGCAGAAGGAUCUAGUUUGGGUCAUGUUAGCUCUAAAUUUGACAAGCAAGCUUGUAGAAAAGCUUUGUCAAUUUUUGUGGUUCUAGAUGAACAACCAUUUAGUGCAGUUGAGGGGGAAGGUUUUAAGUACUAUUCUAAAGUAAUGCAGCCCCAGUUUACUCUCCCAUCUAGGCGUACAGUAGCUAGAGACUGUUUUCAGCUACACUUGGAUGAGAAACAAAAACUAAAAGCCUUCUUUAAGUCUGACUGCAAUAGAGUAGCACUUACUACUGAUUGUUGGACUUCUAUCCAAAAUCAAAACUACUUAACCCUUACGGCACACUUUGUGGAUAACGAAUGGAACUAUCAAAAGAGAAUUAUAAGCUUCACAGUUAUUCCAAACCACAAGGGUGAUACGGUAGGUAGGAAGAUUGAAGAGGUGUUAAGGGAUUGAGGAAUUAGGAAUGUGUCUACCAUAAUUGUUGAUAAUGCAACUUCAAAUGAUGUAGCUGUAGCAUAUUUGCAUAGAAAAAUAUCAAAUAUGAAUGGGAUGAUGGGGGAUGGAAAAUGUUUUCAUAUGAGGUGCGCUGCUCACAUAUUGAAUUUGGUGGUAAAUAAGGGUUUGAAAGAUAAGCAUUUGUCUAUUACUAGUGUUAGGGAUGCUGUUAGAUUUGUCAAGUCCUCGCCUCAUAGGGCAGCCAAGUUUAAAGAGUGCAUUGAAUUUGCUGGAAUAACUUGUAAAAAACUAGUAUGUCUCGAUGUUUCAACUCGUUGGAACGCGACAUAUUUGAUGCUUGAGGCUGCAGAGAAGUUUCAAGUUGCUUUUGAUAAGCUUGAGUAUGAAGAGUCAAGCUAUAGGGAGUUCUUUGGAAAAGGUAGUCCUCCUAGUAGUGAUGAUUGGGACAUUGUUAGAGCUUUUAUCUCUUUUUAAAAGUUAUUCUAUGAAGCAACUAAUGUUUUUUCCACCUCUCAAAGUGUGAGUUUGCAUAGUGCUUUUCACCAAGUGUUUGUGAUCUAUUGUGAGCUGAAGCAAGCUACUAUGAACUUGAAUGGUGUUUUUGCAAGUGUGGGUGGGGACAUGAUGGAAAAGUAUAAUAGAUAUUGGGGGUGUGCUACUAAGAUGAACAAGUUGAUUUAUUUUGGAAUUAUUUUGGAUCCAAGAUACAAGUUGAGUUAUAUUGAGUGGACUUUUAAGGAUAUGUAUGGAGUUGGAUCUGUGUUUGCUACCGGGUUGAUCAAAUCUAUAAAAGAGAGCUUACAAAAAUUGUAUGAUUGGUAUAAGCAAGCUUAUGACCAAAAUCAUAAUAGACAACCUCUUGGUAGUGGUGAAAACAAUGUUUCCAAUGAUGAAACAACAGCUGGUCGUCCAUCACUAAUGGCUAGAGCCGAUGCUUUUGAGCAACAUUUAGAGGAACAAGACUCGAUUGAUCAACAAAAUGAGCUUGAGGGUUUUUACUCUAGUAAGUGUGUCAAAAGGGAUCCUAAAUUUGACCUUCUUGUGUGGUGGAAACACAAUUCAACACAAUAUCCUAUUUUAUCUACAAUAGCUAAAGAUAUUUUUGUCACACCAGUGUCUACGGUUGCAUCAGAAAGUGCCUUUAGUACGGGAGGGAGAGUCUUAGAAACUUAUAGGAGCUCCCUAAAACCUGAAAUGGCAGAGGCAUUAAUUUGCACCCAGAAUUGGUUAAAGCCGUCUUUUACCUAUUUCAAAGACUUGAACAUCAUGGAAGAUUUUGAGCUUUCUGAAGAUAUUAUAGCAGAAUUUGAAGAAAUUUCUUCUACAGCAAGAAGAGGAUCUUUACCGUCUCAGCCACAACCUUCUGGUUGUGCUUGAAAAAUAUGGAGUUCAACUAUGUUUUUUGAAGUCAUAUGUGACUUAUAUUUUGUGACUACUCAAUGGUCAAACAAUAUAUAUUUUGUCAUGUGGAUUUUGAAGAUAUUCAAGCUAGCCAAAUUUUGAAUAUUUUGAGGCCAUGCAGGAACAACUUGGUAAAACUGUGACGAUAUGCUAUAUAGCCAGGAUCAAUUGAUACAUUUUGCACCAUCUUGGUAAAUGAGCAGCAACAUAUGCCAUAUAGGAUCAACUUGGUAAAUGAGUAGCAAUAGAGGCCGUGCAGGAACAGCUUGGGUUGCAGCAAAUGCAAGGUUUGCAUAAAAAAGUGAGGCUCUGGAACUCAUCCUUGGAUAUGGCCCUGUUUGGAUAAGCAACAUAAUCUGCAGCUUAUGUUACUUUCAAAACUUUAGUUAAUGGUCACUUUCAAUUGAUGAUAAGAUAUUCUGACGUGUGCCUAAAAUACACGGUAGUUACUAGUUAGAGUAAGUUGUUGACAGCAAAAUGAAAGGGAAGUGUAAAGUUAUUGUAACCAUCAUUUUGGACUGGUAAUUUGCAACUGUAUAUAUUUACUGAAGAGAGAGCAUGGUAAUAUUUAAGUAACAUAAUUUGGGUUCCAGUAGUUGGAUAAGCAACCAUUCUAGUAGUUAGAGUAAGUCUGAGUUUUGGAAUAUGGCCCUGUUUGGAUAAGCAACAUAAUCUGCAGCUUAUAGCAUAAGUGUUUAUCAUAUAGCUGUGAUUCUUGGUUCUAUUUAAGUAAGUUAUUUAAACUUUAUUAUUUAAUAGUGGUCCCUGUUUUGUUUCAUGUUUGUUUAAUAGUGGUCAUAAUAUACUUAUUUGAUUUUUGUUUAACAGGUUCAGAUUUUGUAGUCCAUUUCAAUUUCUCUUAUGUGGUUA